Molecule: long non-coding RNA, 294 nt
Organism: Trichomycterus rosablanca
Lineage: Eukaryota; Metazoa; Chordata; Actinopteri; Siluriformes; Trichomycteridae
Exons: 2
Source: RefSeq, a predicted model, not a curated record
UUGCGGUCCGUUAAUGUAUCCCAUAAUGCAACUGGAGCUGCGUAGGCGUUCGAAGCGUAAUAAGAAACAAGAAAGACAGCGGUCCUCUGUUUACAAGUGGCCAUGUUGGAGCGCUGGAGCAGAACUACACUGCCUGCCAUGAUGUAAGCCACGCCCAGAAAGAAGAGGAGCAACUGGGCCUGUCGCAAAAAUCUCUUCAGUCUGUAGACGGUUUUACCCAUUGUCACAGCUUAGUAAUCAAAGACUUAUGAUAGGGCCAAAAAUAAAGAUGCUCCUGCUGGUCAGGAUCCAUAA